RNAcentral lists this ribosomal RNA (478 nucleotides) under uncultured bacterium. RNAcentral's name for it is "partial 16S ribosomal RNA". It matches the Rfam family "Bacterial small subunit ribosomal RNA", at positions 28 to 523 of the family's 1533-position model. The record is from RNAcentral.
GACGAACGCUGGCGGCGCGCUUAACACAUGCAAGUCGAACGGUAAGGCCCUUCGGGGUACACGAGUGGCGAACGGGUGAGUAACACGUGGGUGAUCUGCCCUGCACUUCGGGAUAAGCCUGGGAAACUGGGUCUAAUACCGGAUAGGACCACUGCCUGCAUGGGUGGGGGGGGAAAGCUUUUGCGGUGUGGGAUGGGCCCGCGGCCUAUCAGCUUGUUGGUGGGGUGAUGGCCUACCAAGGCGACGACGGGUAGCCGGCCUGAGAGGGUGACCGGCCACACUGGGACUGGGAUACGGCCCAGACUCCUACGGGAGGCAGCAGUGGGGAAUAUUGCACAAUGGGCGCAAGCCUGGUGCAGCGGCGCCGCGUGAGGGAUGACGGCCUUCGGGUUGUAAACCUCUUUCAGCACCGACGAAGCGCAAGUGACGGUAGGUGCAGAAGAAGGACCGGCCAACUACGUGCCAGCCGCCGCCGUAA